Molecule: ribosomal RNA, 471 nt
Filed under: uncultured bacterium
Lineage: Bacteria
Description: bacterial SSU rRNA
Rfam family: Bacterial small subunit ribosomal RNA
Source: RNAcentral
ANAGUUUGAUCCUGGCUCACGNCNNNNGCUGGCGGCGUGCUUAACACAUGCAGGUCGAACGACACNAUUGAAAGCUUGCUUUUGAAAGUCGAGUGGCAAACGGGUGAGUAACGCGUAGACAACCUGCCGUAAAGAUGGGGACAACAGUCCGAAAGGACUGCUAAUACCGAAUGUUGUGGAACUUCCGCAUGGGAGCUCCACUAAAGAUGGCCUCUACUUGUAAGCUAUCGCUUUACGAUGGGUCUGCGUCUGAUUAGCUAGUUGGUGGGGUAACGGCUUACCAAGGCGACGACCAGUAGCCGGUCUGAGAGGAUGAACGGCCACAUUGGAACUGAGACACGGUCCAGACUCCUACGGGAGGCAGCAGUGGGGAAUCUUCCGCAAUGGGCGCAGCCUUGACGGAGCAACGCCGCGUGAGUGUAGAAGGUCUUCGAUCCGUAAAGCUCCUGUUGUUGGGGACGAAAAGUNNAG